This 2502-nucleotide unclassified non-coding RNA is filed under the name Apis florea (little honeybee). RNAcentral describes it as "sphingosine kinase 2, transcript variant X2". Lineage: Eukaryota; Metazoa; Arthropoda; Insecta; Hymenoptera; Apidae. The record is from RNAcentral.
ACAUAAACAGUGUAUGCCGUGACUUCGGUGUGUUCGAAACAGUUCGAUGUUUGAAUGCAUACAAGUACAAAAGUAACCAAGGUAAUAGUGAGAUAAUUUUUUUUAAUUAUACAUCAAAAUAACAGAAUUCUUUCGAUUACCAUAAAUGAUUCAAAAAAAAUUUCAAUACAUGCGAAUAUGACUUAAAUAUCACUUGCAAAACAAAUCCUUUAAUAAGGAUAAUGUUAAAAAUAAAUUAUUCAAAAAAUGCACGUGUUUCAUUAAAUUCGUAACACGACAGAUUGAGUAAUUAAAUAACAAAAUGCUUGAAAUAGUGAAUAAAAAUUAAGUUAGUUGAAUGAUUAUCAAUUACCCUUCCUUAAAUGGAAUCAUAUGAAGCAACAAUAUUUUGCGGUGGCAGAAAAAGGAACUUUAUCAAAGUGUUUGUCAAGUGCCUUAAUUAUUAUGAUAAUGAUCUCCUUAUGGGACGAUUAUCAGUGUGAUUUGUGUUUAUUAUUGAAUGAAAGACAGUGAUCAGCGUGUCAUGGAGGACAGUAGUCAAGUACAUUCUACUCUUCUCGAAGAAACCUUUUACGUUACGUCCAAAAAAAACACUUAUUACAAGGUGAGACUAACAGAAAAGGGUCUCAGCCUAGAGAAAGACAAUAAUGGUGCGACGAAGGUUGAAACGAUCGUUCUAAACGACAUAAUAGGAUGUAGAUGUAUGCGUUCGAAACGUAAAAGCGCGGGAAGCUGUGUUUGUGGGCCAGGUACUUCGAGAUCUCAAUUCAAGCUAGUCGAAUCUGCAGAAGCAUAUCAAUGUUAUGAUGAGUUCGAUACCUCAGCCUAUCUUUAUAUUUAUGCUUAUACAUUGAAGAAAGCACGCAUGAAAGGUGUCAAGAGACGAGAAAGGACGACGAUCACGCUACGGUUCCGCAGUUUUGACAAAUAUGAAGAUAAUCUACGAGAAGCAAGCAGGUGGCGAUUAGCUAUAAAAUGUCUCAUUGUUGGUGUGCCUGUGCCUAAAAGUUUUAUGAGUCCGAGCCAUGAGAAUCUUGAAUCGUUGAUUAGUGCUUGUCCAGGCGAGCAACGAAAGAUACUGGUAUUGCUGAAUCCGAAAUCUGGACCGGGAAGAAGCCGAGAAACGUUCCAGAAAAGAAUCCAUCCGAUUCUAUCGGAAGCGGAGAGGCCUUACGAGGUUCACGUCACCAAGUGUCCCAAUUACGCACGCGAGUUCGUGCAUACGAGGGACAUCUAUCAAUGGAGCGGACUCGUGAUGGUCGGGGGCGACGGAAUAGUAUUCGACGUAGUAAAUGGACUUUUUCAAAGGCCCGAUUGGGAGAAAGCUCUGAAGGAAUUACCCCUUGGCGUGAUACCCUGCGGUUCCGGUAAUGGCUUGGCGAAAUCCAUCGCGUACGCUAAACAAGAACCUUACGAUUACAAUCCUCUCCUUAUCAGUGCAUUAUCCGUGGUAAAAUUCAAGAAAGCUCAGAUGGAUUUAGUGCGCGUUGAAACCAGAAAUCAGAUUCUAUUUUCAUUUUUAUCGGUUGGAUGGGGUUUACUCGCCGACAUUGACAUUGAGAGCGAACGUCUACGCGCAAUAGGCGGCCAGAGAUUCACUGUGUGGACUAUUGCCCGUUUGAUAGGCUUGAGAACGUACAAAGGAAAGGUAUCUUAUUUACCUUGCGAUAAAGUACUGUCCGUGGAAAGUUUAGGUAAUGGGAAUGCCUACAAUGAAUACGCCAAGGAAACGCAGAUAUCGCAUUCAAGGAGCUGCGGCGACGAUUUAGAUCGGUACAGUAAAAUCAGUGAAUCAAAGAGUUUUCACGAUACGCUCGAUGGAGAUCCUGCUAUUUUGGAUGGAUCGUCCGAUAUUUACGAUGAUAACGAAAUAAUAAGCGAAAAUAUUACUCUGGAAACGGAAAUUGAGAGAAGACAAAGGCUAGACAGCUUUUAUUCUGCGACAUCUGCAAAAUCGACUUAUUUUAGUACAGGUUCAAUUUCUAGUUACCAUAGCGUUGACGAACCCGAUAAUGAAAAUAUUGGAAGAAGAAAUAAACAAAUUGAUCCACUUUUUAAUUAUUCAAAAGUAUUGUGUUAAUCGGAAAAUUAUUGAAAAUAUUUAUAAAGUAAUUAUUUCUUAUAAAAUUGAUUUUAUUGGACAUUGUUAUACAAAUUAAAUAAUAAUCUAUGUAUUAUUAAGAUACAAAAGACAGCAACAAUCAAGUUAUGUAUGGUCCCUCAUCGAGGUUACCGGCUCUAACUUCAGAAGUAUCAAGUUCCUGGACACAAAUACAGGGAGAGUUUGUUAUGGUCCAUGCCGCAUAUCAAUCUCAUUUGGGCCAGGAUUAUUUCUUUGCACCUCGUGCCAAAUUGGCGGAUGGUAUUAUUUGGCUCAUGAUAGUGAAAGCCGGAAUUACUCGAGCCAAUUUGCUUCAGUUCCUGUUGGGCUUAAGUAAUGGUUCCCACAUAACGCGUUCUGGUAUCGACAUGAUACCAGUAAAGGCAUUUCGAAUAGAACCA